Molecule: ribosomal RNA, 500 nt
Filed under: uncultured bacterium
Lineage: Bacteria
Description: partial 16S ribosomal RNA
Rfam family: Bacterial small subunit ribosomal RNA
Source: RNAcentral
AUUGAACGCUGGCGGAAUGCUUUACACAUGCAAGUCGAACGGCAGCACGGACUUCGGUCUGGUGGCGAGUGGCGAACGGGUGAGUAAUGUAUCGGAACGUGCCCAGUCGUGUGGGAUAACGUAGUGAAAAUUACGCUAAUACCGCAUACGAUCUAUGGAUGAAAGCGGGGGAUCGCAAGACCUCGCGCGAUUGGAGCGGCCGAUAUCAGGUUAGGUAGUUGGUGGGGUAAAGGCCCACCAAGCCAACGAUCUGUAGCUGGUCUGAGAGGACGACCAGCCACACUGGAACUGAGACACGGUCCAGACCCCUACGGGAGGCAGCAGUGGGGAAUUUUGGACAAUGGGCGAAAGCCUGAUCCAGCCAUUCCGCGUGCAAGAUGAAGGCCCUCGGGUUGUAAACUGCUUUUGUACAGAACGAAAAGGUUUCUACUAAUACUAGGAGCUCAUGACGGUACUGUAAGAAUAAGCACCGGCUAACUACGUGCCAGCCGCCGCGGUAA